RNAcentral lists this ribosomal RNA (460 nucleotides) under uncultured bacterium. RNAcentral's name for it is "partial 16S ribosomal RNA". It matches the Rfam family "Bacterial small subunit ribosomal RNA", at positions 338 to 795 of the family's 1533-position model. The record is from RNAcentral.
CCUACGGGAGGCAGCAGUGAGGAAUAUUGGUCAAUGGGCGCUAGCCUGAACCAGCCAAGUAGCGUGAAGGAUGACUGCCCUAUGGGUUGUAAACUUCUUUUAUAUGGGAAUAAAGUGCAGUAUGUUUACUGCUUUGCAUGUACCUUAUGAAUAACGACCGGCUAACUCCUUCCAAGCAGCCGCGGUAAUACGGAGGUUCCGAGCGUUAUCCGGAUUUAUGGGGUGUAAAGGGAGCGUAGGCGGGCUGUUAAGUCUGUUGUGAAAGUCUGCGGCUCAACCGUGAGAUUGCAGUUGAUACUGGCAUCCUUGAGUGCAGUAGAGGUAGGCGGAAUUCGUGGUGUAGCGGUGAAAUGCGUAGAUAUCACGAGGAACUCCAGUUGCGAAGGCAGCCUGCUGGACUGUAACUGACGCUGAUGCUCGAAAGUGUGGGUAUCAAACAGGAUUAGAUACCCUAGUAGUC